GGCCUUGACAUGCAGAGAACUUUCCAGAGAUGGAUUGUGCCUUCGGGAACUCUGACACAGGUGCUGCAUGGCUGUCGUCAGCUCGUGUCGUGAGAUGUUGGGUUAAGUCCCGUAACGAGCGCAACCCUUGUCCUUAGUUACCAGCACGUUAUGGUGGGCACUCUAAGGAGACUGCCAGUGACAAACCGGAGGAAGGUGGGGAUGACGUCAAGUCAUCAUGGCCCCUACGGCCUGGGCUACACACGUGCUACAAUGGUCGGUACAAAGGGUUGCCAAGCCGCGAGGUGGAGCUAAUCCCAUAAAACCGAUCGUAGUCCGGAUCGCAGUCUGCAACUCGACUGCGUGAAGUCGGAAUCGCUAGUAAUCGUGAAUCAGAAUGUCACGGUGAAUACGUUCCGGGGCCUU
RNAcentral lists this ribosomal RNA (405 nucleotides) under uncultured Pseudomonas sp. Its description in RNAcentral is "bacterial SSU rRNA". It matches the Rfam family "Bacterial small subunit ribosomal RNA", at positions 977 to 1382 of the family's 1533-position model. The record is from RNAcentral. Lineage: Bacteria; Pseudomonadati; Pseudomonadota; Gammaproteobacteria; Pseudomonadales; Pseudomonadaceae.